GAUUUUUAAAAGCUCAUCCGCCAACACAAGGCGCUGAAUGUUGAAAGAUGAACAUUCGAAGAAAAUGUGAUGUAGUGAUUGAAUUUUUUGUGAUUGACAAUAUUCGCAAUAGGGAGAAUUAGCCAUUUUAAUACGAUGAAGAUGACAAUUUAAUCUAUAAUGACCAAAACGCAUACGACAAAUAAUUGAAUAAAAUUUUCUAUUGAUAAAAUUAUUUUUCUUGCAAAACCAAGGAGUGGAGUUUAUUUGGACAUCCAUACUAGCAAACCAGUUUCCUUUAUUUUCAUGGAUAAAUUAUAUGAAAUAUGGACACCCAAAAAUUUCACUUCAGAUGUAGUGGGUAACAAACAAUUAUUAUAUUGCACAGCAGGUGUACUGUGACAAUGUUUACCAAAUACAAUAACUUUAGACUUGGAUGGAUUCACACUGAGAUCAAGGAAUCCCUAUUUGUAAUAACUCAAGGCAUAGAAUAUCUAUGUUUACACUAUUAAAAGCACCUGCGAUGUCAAA
Molecule: long non-coding RNA, 510 nt
Organism: Manduca sexta (tobacco hornworm)
Lineage: Eukaryota; Metazoa; Arthropoda; Insecta; Lepidoptera; Sphingidae
Exons: 3
Source: RefSeq, a predicted model, not a curated record